RNAcentral lists this ribosomal RNA (460 nucleotides) under uncultured bacterium. RNAcentral's name for it is "partial 16S ribosomal RNA". It matches the Rfam family "Bacterial small subunit ribosomal RNA", at positions 338 to 795 of the family's 1533-position model. The record is from RNAcentral.
CCUACGGGUGGCAGCAGUGAGGAAUAUUGGGCAAUGGACGCAAGUCUGAACCAGCCAUGCCGCGUGCAGGAAGACGGCCCUAUGAGUUGUAAACUGCUUUUGUACGAGGGUAAACGCAGAUACGUGUAUCUGUCUGAAAGUAUCGUACGAAUAAGGCUCGGCUAACUCCGUGCCAGCAGCCGCGGUAAUACGGAGGAUUCAAGCGUUAUCCGGAUUUAUUGGGUUUAAAGGGUGCGUAGGCGGUCGGAUAAGUUAGAGGUGAAAUCCCGGGGCUCAACUUCGGAAUUGCCUCUGAUACUGUGCGGCUAGAGAGUAGGUGCGGUAGGCGGAAUGUAUGGUGUAGCGGUGAAAUGCUUAGAGAUCAUAAAGAACACCGAUUGCGAAGGCAGCUUACCAAGCUACUUCUGACGUUGAGGCACGAAAGCGUGGGGAGCAAACAGGAUUAGAUACCCCUGUAGUC